RNAcentral lists this unclassified non-coding RNA (334 nucleotides) under soil metagenome. RNAcentral describes it as "partial contains 5.8S ribosomal RNA, internal transcribed spacer 2, and large subunit ribosomal RNA". The stretch from base 1 to 120 matches the Rfam family "5.8S ribosomal RNA", at positions 35 to 154 of the family's 154-position model. The record is from RNAcentral.
GAUGAAGAACGCAGCGAAAUGCGAUACGUAAUGUGAAUUGCAGAAUUCAGUGAAUCAUCGAAUCUUUGAACGCACAUUGCGCCCGCCAGCACUCUGGCGGGCAUGCCUGUUCGAGCGUCAUUUCAACCAUCAAGCCCCAGGCUUGCGUUGGAGCCCUGCUGCUGCCGCAGCCUCCUAAAAGCAGUGGCGGGCUCGCUAUCACACCGAGUGCAGUAGAUUACUCUUCGCUCAGGGCGUGCAGCGGGUUCCGGCCGUGAAACCCCCUACUUUUAAAGGUUGACCUCGGAUCAGGUAGGAAUACCCGCUGAACUUAAGCAUAUCAAUAAGCGGAGGA